AGUACUGACCCUAUUUCAGUUGAUACUUUAUUUUACUAAAUCUUUCGUAUUAACCAUAAGCAUAAAGGAUAUCAUGUUGGGUUGCAUUGCCAUGUAAGGAAUGGAUAUCCUAAACCUGAGAAAGUACCAACGCAGAUGAUAGUUUCUUAGGAAUAUCAUCGUGUUGUUACAGCAAAGAUGGCUAGCUGUAGCACCUUCUAUAGUUCAGUUUACUACUAGGGAUAUUAUUCAAUCUCUGAACUAUGUAUUACCAUUAUAAAUUUGGCUAGGGAAUCUGUCUCAUUUAAUAUUGCCAUGAAGUAGUUGGGAUGGAGAGGGUUUUUUACUUGACUACUUUCUGACUAUAUACCUUUCUGUUUUGUGCAAGUACAAAGUAUUAGUAAUUUCAGUCUGUCCAAUUUUUGCAGGGAUAAUUGUGUGAGUCUGGUCCAAACUUUAAGACAAUCACUUAAUACAUUUAUGGGAUCACCAACUUUUGGCGUUUGUUGAGACUAGCUAGGUGGGACCAUGAAUUCCUAGAAGAUUGUGAACAAAAGUAAAAAAUGGAAGGCCCAGCUUACUUUGGUAUUAAGGGACAAGGAGCUGCAGCAUCAUGGAUUGGACCGAAGGGGAGGUCCUGACGGCUGAAGAUGGUGUGCACGGGAGGAGCUCGAAGCGGCACUCCCAUGGAGGGAUGGCUGAUGUCACGGCAAUUUUCUCCCAU
Molecule: long non-coding RNA, 703 nt
Organism: Triticum aestivum (bread wheat)
Lineage: Eukaryota; Viridiplantae; Streptophyta; Magnoliopsida; Poales; Poaceae
Exons: 3
Source: RefSeq, a predicted model, not a curated record